RNAcentral lists this non-coding RNA (103 nucleotides) under Alkaliphilus oremlandii OhILAs. RNAcentral describes it as "Glycine riboswitch aptamer". It matches the Rfam family "Glycine riboswitch aptamer". From Rfam's summary of the family: This family represents the bacterial glycine riboswitch. RNAcentral also lists the same sequence under 1 other name. Lineage: Bacteria; Bacillati; Bacillota; Clostridia; Peptostreptococcales; Natronincolaceae. The record is from Rfam by way of RNAcentral.
AUGAAAAUAACGAGAGAUAUUCUUACUGGAAUAGCCGAAGAAGCAAUAUAGAAGAUGCCAUUCUUCCAUAGAAUCUUUCAGGCAAAAGGAUCGUUAUUGGAUG